RNA transcript from Lemur catta (Ring-tailed lemur), 2309 nucleotides. It is a transcript of the gene named mitogen-activated protein kinase 15, with no coding region annotated. The record is from RefSeq and is a predicted model, not a curated record. The transcript has 15 exons. Lineage: Eukaryota; Metazoa; Chordata; Mammalia; Primates; Lemuridae.
CGCCCAACAGGUCCAGCCCAGCGGAACCCAGGCCACCCUCUGAGCCGGUUGCCUCCGCCGCCAUGUGCGCCGCCGAGGUGGACCACCGCGUAGCCCGGAGAUACCUGCUCAAGAGGCGGCUCGGGAAGGGGGCCUACGGCAUUGUGUGGAAGGCAGUGGACCGGGGGACUGGUGAGGUCGUUGCCAUCAAGAAAAUCUUUGAUGCCUUUAGAGAUAAGACAGAUGCCCAGAGAACGUUCCGGGAAAUCACACUCCUCCAGGAGUUUGGGGACCAUCCCAAUAUUAUCCGCCUCCUUGACCUGAUGCGGGCAGAGAAUGACAGGGACAUUUACCUGGUGUUGGAGUCUAUGGACACUGACCUGGAUGCCGUCAUCAGGAAGGGCGGGCUGCUGAGGGAUGUCCACAAGCGCUACAUCUUCUACCAGCUCCUGCGGGCCACCAAGUUCCUCCACUCAGGGCGAGUCAUCCACCGGGACCUGAAGCCAUCCAAUGUCCUCCUGGACGCCAACUGCGUGGUGAAACUCUGUGACUUCGGCCUGGCCCGCUCUCUGAGCAACCUCCCUGAGGGGCCCGAGGGCCAAGCCCUGACCCAGUACGUGGCCACACGCUGGUACCGAGCUCCGGAAGUGCUACUGUCCUCAAGCUGGUACACUCCUGGGGUGGACAUGUGGAGUCUGGGCUGCAUCCUAGGGGAGAUGCUUCGAGGGCAGCCCCUGUUCCAGGGGACAUCCACGCUCCACCAGCUGGAGCUGAUCCUGGAGACCAUACCGCCUCCAUCCGAGGGGGACCUCCUGGCCCUCGGCUCAUGCUACAGCACCUCCAUUCUGCACGGCCUGGGGUCCCGGCCACGGCAGAUGCUAGAUGCCAUCCUGCCACCAGACACACCCCCAGAGGCCCUGGACCUCCUCAGGCUACUCCUGGUGUUUGCCCCUGACAAGCGACUCAGCGCUGCCCAGGCACUGCAGCACCCCUACGUGCAGAGGUUCCACUGCCCUGGCCGAGACAGGACUCCGGAGGCGGAUGUGCAGCUCCCGGUGCACGAAGGAGUCCAGCUCUCCGCGACUGAGUAUCGCAACCGCCUCUAUCAGAUGAUCUUGGAGCGGAGAAGCAACAGCCACGUCGGGAAAGAGGAGGGCUUGGGGGAUGCCCCUCUGCCAACAAAGCCCAGGGCCUCUGGGCCUCAGGUGCACCCGCUCAAGCCCAGAGCCGGCACUCAGCUCCUCUCAAGGGCGCCUGCACAGAACCCUGGACUCAGGCCUCAGAAUAGCCCUGGGCCUGAUCUGGAGCAUGAUGCCCCCAGCACAGCCAGGAACAUUUCCAGGAAGAAUUCAGCCCCCCUGCCCCAACCUGUGCCCCCUGGGACAGAGGCAAAGCCCCCCUCGGCACCCUCUCGGGUGAAGCCCAGCGUGAGAGGGGCAGUGCCUUCCCUGACCUGGCAGUCUGCAGCCCAGUUAGCCAACCAAGCCCUGAUGCGCAGUGACUGGACCCGGUCCUGUGGGGUGAAGGCAGCUGGCGUGCCACUGGUUGCUGCUAUACAAGGCAUUGGCCGUGGCUGAGGCCAGGCGCGCCCGUGGGCCCCGCUCGUCUCCUGUGGUAGCCUCUGCGCUGUCACCCCGGCCCAGCGACCGCCUCCGGGGACUCUCCGGCUGCCCGUUCUCCUGCGGCACUGGGAAACCACCCUCAUCCUCUGAGCGCCGCUCACCCUUGGGGCUCAGCAGCUGCCUGAGGCGCAGGGAGCCCUUGCGCAGGACUUCCAUGGGGCCGCCCACGGUCUCCUCCGCUGGUCCGGUCUUUGGAGACUCCCCGGAGAAGCAGCUGCACUUUUUCAGUGGUGGUCGCUGCGGCCCCGCCUGCGCCCUCGGCCUGUGACGCGCUGAAGAUGAGCGAGGAGCGCAGCCUUGAGCUGCGCUGGAUGACUGGGUUCAGGCGCGAGCGGAAAGAGUCCUGCUUGGCCAGGCCUGUCUCCUCCGGGAUCUCGCCGCCACCGCUGCCUGAGCCUGGCACCGGGCCCUUGGUAGGGAAGGCUGUGGGGACGCGGAAGGCCGAAGGGAGCAGGUCCCCGGCGGCUGCCCGGCCCCCGGAAGCCAGCACGUCGUCUUCAUAGACCUCGGCUUCCAUGGGCACCGGCAGGCCCUCGUCGCCGGCAUCUUCACCGUGGCAACCGCUCAGGUAGGAGGCGAGGCGCCAGUGCCGCAGCCCUGCCCGUCCCUCGGGCCCGCCCCUGCGCUCUGGCUCUGCCUCUGCCGCGUGGUCUGGGCCGGCCCUCGCCGCAGCCUGGCACGGGAAGCGCUGGCCCAGGUUGGGGCGCA